AAUCUUAUAUUUUAUAAAUAAAAAUAUUAAAUUGCAAAUUUAACGAAAACUACCAAGUUUAAGAUUU
RNAcentral lists this transfer RNA (67 nucleotides) under Ixodes nuttallianus. RNAcentral describes it as "tRNA-Cys". The record is from RNAcentral. Lineage: Eukaryota; Metazoa; Arthropoda; Arachnida; Ixodida; Ixodidae.